Molecule: non-coding RNA, 75 nt
Organism: Podarcis lilfordi (Lilford's wall lizard)
Lineage: Eukaryota; Metazoa; Chordata; Lepidosauria; Squamata; Lacertidae
Source: the annotation of a GenBank genome assembly
GGGGCCAUCUUGUCUCAGUGGCAGAGCAUCUGCCUUGCAUGUAGAAGGUCCCAGGUUCAAACCCUAGUGGCAUCU